GUCACGGGGCGCGCGCUGAUGCGAACGGGGUGACAGAUGGGAACGCCUCCGAGACCGCCAGCGACGACCCCGCUCGGGCAGCCCCGGAUUUCCUCGGCUGCACCGGCGCCGGCAGCGGGGACCGAGGCCCGCGUCCGUUCGGGUCGGGCCGGGGCUUAGCCCCGCGCCCCACGGGCGGCCGGGACCCCACCCGGACCCCGCCGCGGUUCUGGGCCGCCGGAGCCUCGCGCCGCCUCUCGGGGACCUUGUCCCCUGGCCUCCGGCCUCUCGGGCCCCUCGCCUGCCGUCUAGGAGGGAAGGGGCCUUGGAUCUGUGCCCCGCCCAUGGAACAGCGCCCGGGCUCGGAGAGGCCCCGCGAGGCCGCAGGCGCAGACCCUCCCGGAGGGCUGGGCGGGCACCGGGGUCUUCGGCUGGCUUGAGGGACCCGACCCCUGGGGGAGGAAUUUGGGGUCUGUGUGUCCGAAUGAACGCGGGGGUUCAGAUGAGUCUGUGGUGCCCCCGCUUUCCAUCUCCUCCGGCCCCGGCCCCAGAGGACUGUCUGAGAGGCCGGUGGCCGCGGAUCCUGGACGCGCCUCCCUCCUGCCUGUGGUUUCCCUUUAUUCCGGCAGCGGCGCGAGCCCACCCUUCACAUACAGGAGCUACAUCCAGAAGCUUCUCCUGGGGCCACAGCGUGGGCUUCCGAGACUCUGCGUGACCCCAGCUCUGCCCCUUUGGGGCUGCGGGUGAAGCCCUCAGGACCCUCCGCGUGCGUUGGGCAGGUAACUGGAUGAGGGAUAAUGUGGUGAGGUCCCCGUGCCCAACCCUCCUCUGCAGCCCACAGCAACCGUUCCCUCUUCAGCAGCCCCCUCCCCCCGGCCGCUCUGGGCGCCCGUUCCCAGCAUCCUCCUUGGCAGGUGUUACCCCUCCCCAUUCCCCAGGCCCUGGGCCCUCCUGAUCUGUCUCCUCGACCCCCUGGGGCCCCAGUCUGGCUCAGUCUGGUCCACACUCUGGAAUCUGGUGGGACUGGGUAUGGAGGGUCUUGAGUGUCAGCAGGCCACCUGCGUCCCACCUGGUGGGUGAGAAGGGUCCCACAGGUCAGCAUGGAGGGACCCGACUCUGUCUCUUCUGCUGGAAACCAGGCAGGUUCCUUCCCCCAGGGCCCCGGCAGGGCCACGAGUACCCGCUGCACUGGAGCACGGGGGAAGAGGCAGGGAUCCUUCAUUACCUGAACCCCAUGUUCACACGUCACAAAACAGGAGUUUCCAAAAUUAGAAUUUAUUUCAGUUUCUAAGGAAUGAAUCCCCGAGUGUGGCAGGAAGGACACAGCCGGCUCCUGACGCACACCUGAUUUGAUUCAACACCGAGUCGGCACAGACACAACCAGAGAUGGCCUGGGUCCAGGCUGGGGCUGCACGGGCUGUGUCCUGGACAGCCAGGAGGGAGGCCCCGCACACAGACGGCCGCCGGGCAGGGGGCCUGAGCGGGACAGGCCUGGCCACAGCCCAUGUCCUUGGCCUUCCACAUAGGUGCACACAUUGUCUGCCCAGAGAGGGCCAAGAUGCCCCAGGCACCCCUUCGCUCCGGGGGCUCAGGACACAGGCUCCCAGCUGAGGCCACGCCUGGACCCAGAGCUGAUGUUUGGCUGCACGCGAGCCCACUCGGGACAGACCCAAGAACACGAAUUCUCUCCCUUUGGAUUUAAGGCUGGUGUUUUUUGACAUUUACUUCAGUUUUUCUCUCUGAAAUUAAAAUUACCUGAGUAAAAGAUUUUAAGACAUUAAAAAAGCCAAAAACACAGAAUCCCUGCAGGCAGACGGUGCCAGGGAGGUGGCGGCCAGGGCCAGGAUGCCAGGGGCACGGUGGGGUCGGCUGGAGCUCCAGGGC
RNAcentral lists this long non-coding RNA (1863 nucleotides) under Homo sapiens (human). Its description in RNAcentral is "non-protein coding lnc-TUBGCP6-5:6". Lineage: Eukaryota; Metazoa; Chordata; Mammalia; Primates; Hominidae. The record is from RNAcentral.